UACACACCGCCCGUCACACCAUGGGAGUGGGUUGCAAAAGAAGUGGGUAGCUUAACCUUCGGGAGGGCGCUUACCACUUUGUGAUUCAUGACUGGGGUG
RNAcentral lists this ribosomal RNA (99 nucleotides) under uncultured bacterium. RNAcentral's name for it is "partial 16S ribosomal RNA". It matches the Rfam family "Bacterial small subunit ribosomal RNA", at positions 1384 to 1482 of the family's 1533-position model. The record is from RNAcentral.